Molecule: long non-coding RNA, 607 nt
Filed under: Homo sapiens (human)
Lineage: Eukaryota; Metazoa; Chordata; Mammalia; Primates; Hominidae
Description: HSALNT0147575
Source: RNAcentral
GAAGUGAAAUCUGUUUGUGUUUUUAAUCCACACAGGCAGUUUCCCAUUAUAAUGAAGCUUUCACAGUUGAGUACCACUGAUCUCUUGUGUUCUUGAAAGUGAUUGGUGAUCAAAAUCACCCUUUUUGCAAGCAGCUACCUACUAUUACUCUCCACAGAGAAUAAUGAAUCACUACACACAGAAAUAUUAAGAUACCACUUAGAGUAUUAGAAUUUUAACCACUUCAUGUGGCUGAGGCACAGGGGCCUUUUCAGCCCCAACGCUAGUUUUCUCAAAAUUGGUCCUGCGGCCCAGCUUUGCUCUUAUGCUCUCCUGGGCCCAGGCUGCCUCCUGCAGUGUGGUGUGAAACUUAACUGUAAUUUGUUGUGACUGAUCCCUAAUGCAAGUGUUAACAGUGGCUACUUGCCAUGAGUAGGAGAGUGAGAGUAAGUGUUGUUUAUCCAGACAAGAAGUGAUACCAAAAUGAGACUGGAGGUGUGAUUCUAAUUUGCACCUCCGUUUCAUUUGCCCAGAGGAACUACAUUUUUUUGUCAUUAUUUCUGAAUAUAUAUAGUGACAGGGGAAGGCUUACCAAAUGCACUGCUAACAGAUGUGGCAAUCACACUUC